CUGUCUUCUGGCGCUGUGCUGUGGCGGGAAUCAGCAAAGCUCUUCAACCAUUAUUAUUUGUUAUUUUCAGUUGAAACUGUUGAGCGCGAAACUGUGGAUUAAUAAUGCAGUGAAAUGCAGGUGGAGAUGGAAGGAGCAAUGGUUGGUUUUAGUCAUAAGAGAUUCUUGGAAAAAGUGUUGUGUAGAGUCUGAGAUUUUCUUUGGAACUUUCUUCUAUUAUACAGCAGAUACAAAGUUAUUUUGUUCUAGGUAUAUAUUAUAGAGGGUUUUUAUAUCUGUCUUUUAUACCAUUUUGUGCUAAAAAUGUUUUGCAAAUGCUUUUAGAAAUAAAAAUUUAUUUAAUUGA
Molecule: long non-coding RNA, 346 nt
Organism: Parasteatoda tepidariorum (common house spider)
Lineage: Eukaryota; Metazoa; Arthropoda; Arachnida; Araneae; Theridiidae
Source: RefSeq, a predicted model, not a curated record